Molecule: long non-coding RNA, 2677 nt
Organism: Diceros bicornis minor
Lineage: Eukaryota; Metazoa; Chordata; Mammalia; Perissodactyla; Rhinocerotidae
Exons: 4
Source: RefSeq, a predicted model, not a curated record
GCCGGCUAGGUUUUGGCGGGUUGCAGAUUCCUUUGUCCCUCGAAGGUGGGCGGGCGCAGCCCUGCCUACUUUGUAGCGGGUUGAGGCUGGCCCCGCCUGCGGGCCAAGAGCCCAUCCCAGACCAACCUUGGGUCUGGGGAGUUUGUGCGUGCGCAGCGUCUGCUGGGGUGCAGCUGUUAGCGCCCAACGUGGGGUUUUCUGCUCGCUGCAAGACAUGCCAAUAGUCAAGAUGGAGAUAGAGCAUACAUCAAUGUUUUUAGAAGAAAACAUGCAUGGUCACCUUGCUGGGAGAGGCCUUAGGAAGCACUGCUAACCAUCUAUACCGUCACCAAAAGUCCUCCUGGCUUCAUGUGAAACAUACCAAGCUACAUCCAGAUCAUCACCCCCAUGACGAUUAGAAGGCCAUGCCUAUGAGUGACCUCAGACUGAAGAUUUCCAGAGCGAUUUGGGCUCCAGAACCAGACAACAACAUGAAGUAGACAGCUUUAUCCAAGAUCUUGGAUCAAGAAUUUUGUCUUCAUUUAUCUUCUCUUGAAACCUCUUCUCUUCCUGACCUGGAAAAUUCUCUGACCUAGAAAUUUAAACAGAACCCUUCCUCCUUUAUUUACAGAAAGAUUGGCCGGAGGUUGCUUGUCUUACCCUAUUCUCUCCCUGUUCCUCCACUAUGGGCUCCCUUUCAAACUGUGUCUUGCUUCAACUAACGCUUGCUGUUUUUUCAACAAUUCUAGCACAACCCCAACACUCACACCAGUCUUUCAAACCCUGGCCGCCUUAACUAAUUAAUCUGACUGCUGGUUAUGUCAACAUCUGGAUAACACACAAAAACCUAAACUAGUUUUUGUUCCUGCCAGUGCAAGCACCUGGUGGACCUGUUCUGGACAGUGGUUGUAUGAAAGGGAAUGGCAUCCACAAGCAGGAGUGCAAAAUCCCUCUACUUCCUCCUAUGGUAGAGUGAUUUGGCACUGGGAACCCCCUGUGGAAGCUCAAGGUCUAUCCUUUACUCAGGUGAGGCUAUUGGAGAGAAGUUUUUCUCUUUGCAUUAAAAACAAAAAUGGCACUGGACCCUUCCUAGGUAAUAUACCAAAACAAUACUGUCAUCAAAUACUGUGGUUUGAUUCCACAGGUGGCACCUUCAAAUGCUCUAUAGAUUUUAUAAAUGAGUCCAAGACUGAUUAUUCUGAUACAAAUAUUUGCCUAGUCACUGGACAGUAUUCCUGGUUCGCAGGCCACACAAAUGGGAGCUGGAACAGCUUGGCUGUUCCCCUGGUUGGUCUGCCCAAUACCCAGAACUACAUGUGGGUGGACCAAAAUUCUGGAAUGACCUGGUCAGGUAGGGACACCUAUCUCUAUAACUGCCAAAAUCAAACCAAAGGUCUUCUCUACCAGUUAUUUCGCAACCUGUUUUGCUCUUAUAGCCUGACAGAGGCUCAUGGGAAAUGGAGAUGUGCAGGUGCCAGCAUAACUAAUGACGAAGGUCGCAAUGGACACCGGACCCCAACCUGGUGGAUCACAGGUUCCACUCUGACCUUGUCUGUGAAUGAUUCUGGUCUCUUUAUUUUAUGCGUCAAUAAGGUAUAUAAAGGGUUGCCACCGAAAUGGUCAGGACAAUGUGGACUUGGAUACCUGGCACCUUCCCCACCAGGUAUCCCACUUUAAAUGCUAGCCAAAUUUCAAACCUAGGCUCCUACAUACAUAAAGUAGCACCACGUAGACACACCCAAGGAGACAGAGACGAUCCACUCAUGUGUCUCAACACCAAUUCAAUAAGGACUCUUUUUCGAAGUUUGGAAACUUCUGAUCUAGAAGAAGCAAUUUCCAAGAUCUUCAAAGCAAUGGAGCAAGGAUUCACUGCCACUCUGGAGACCUUGGAAGCACGCCAAUCAGGAUUGAGCGGAUUAGCCACUGUACUCCAAAGCCGUCAUCUCCUGGAUACCCCAGCUGCGCAACCGGAAAGAACGUGUGCGCUCAUUGGCAGACAGCGCUGCCUAUCUCUUACCUCCCGACUUCCAACCCAAAAUCUCUCUGCACAGCAAGCGACCCAGCUUCUUGCCUGUGAAACUUCAAGUUUCAAACAGGGAAAUGAAGGGACUAACCCUGCCAGAAUGGCAUAAAGACUAUUUUAAACUGAGAACAUCUGAACAAACAGCAGCUGCAGAAAAAGAGCCUUCUCUAUAUUCCCUUUGAUGAGUAAAGUGGGCCUUUCUGAGAAUUCACCUGCCAUAAACCCUCUCCAGGGGAGCCUCUGUAAGGGAGGAGCCUGACUUGGCAUCAGGACCUCGCGGGGAAUUGCGUAAAUAAGUCCUGUCAGAACCUUCCGUACUUUCCCACUGAAGCCUUAACACCCGCUCCCCCAUCCCAUUAAGCUGGUGUCUUAUCUCUGGCAGUUCAGAGAGCUACUCCUUAUAGCAUGCUCCCGCAUACAUGUAUCAUAACUUUUCUCCUAUUAAUAUGUCUUUAAUACACAGGCCCUCAACUACUUGAACCUCAGUUGGUAGAGGAAAAGUUUUCCUCCCAGUGGCACUGUCUAGCCCUCUCUAGAUACACCAGAGUGUUCAAAUACAUAACGAAAUUCGGAAACCUUGAUUCUGUUUGAAGGUGGAAGAAUCUAAUGUACAUAUACAUAGGCUUUCUGGGAAUCCUUUUAAAUUUGUCUCAAACAAUAAACUUGUGGUAGUCA